GGAUACAAGAAAAUGGAAAGACAUCCCUUGUUCCUGGGUAGAAAGAAUGAAUAUAGCAAAAAUGGCCAAUGGUUGAUUCAGCUGAUCUGGCUGGCUAGGCGAAUGUCCCCUUCCUCCCUCACCGCUCCAUGUGCAUCCCUCUAGGAGCUGCAUGCUCAAAGAGAACAACCACCCCCAUAGAGGAGGACCGUUUUCUCCAUCAGAGGUGUAAGAGUAGCUGCACUCCCCGGCUAGAACCUCCAAACAAGCUCUCAAAUAACCUCUCAUUUCAUUUGUGGUUUCUUUUUUCACAUAUGUCAAUUUAGAAAUGUAUGCUAUCU
Unclassified non-coding RNA from Fukomys damarensis (Damara mole-rat), 320 nucleotides. Its record names the gene 7SK. It matches the Rfam family "7SK RNA". From Rfam's summary of the family: 7SK was discovered as an abundant small nuclear RNA in the mid-70s but a possible function has only recently been suggested. Two independent studies have found that 7SK RNA binds the CDK9/cyclin T complex (known as elongation factor P-TEFb). The record is from Ensembl. Lineage: Eukaryota; Metazoa; Chordata; Mammalia; Rodentia; Bathyergidae.